UUAAACAUAAGAGUUUGAUCCUGGCUCAGGACGAACGCUGGCGGCGUGCUUAACACAUGCAAGUCGAACGAGGAUGUUGACUUCGG
This 86-nucleotide ribosomal RNA is filed under the name Clostridiales bacterium. Its description in RNAcentral is "partial 16S ribosomal RNA". It matches the Rfam family "Bacterial small subunit ribosomal RNA", at positions 1 to 83 of the family's 1533-position model. The record is from RNAcentral. Lineage: Bacteria; Bacillati; Bacillota; Clostridia; Eubacteriales.